This 79-nucleotide microRNA precursor is filed under the name Medicago truncatula (barrel medic). RNAcentral describes it as "MIR5269 microRNA precursor family". It matches the Rfam family "MIR5269 microRNA precursor family". Lineage: Eukaryota; Viridiplantae; Streptophyta; Magnoliopsida; Fabales; Fabaceae. The record is from Rfam by way of RNAcentral.
UUGGUUUAAAUCAUUAUGGAUCUACACUUUGGAAAUAGAACCAACACAAAGUGGUCGGACAUGUAUUGAUUUCAUCCAA